GUUUAUCUAUUUUAAGACAAGGUAACCAGUUAAUAAUAGUUAUUUAGUAUUUUGUGCAAAUUUUUAAUAAAUACAACUAACUUGAAAAUUUUCAAACAAAAUGCACAAUGACACAAUUAUUAUCACAUGGCUACACAACUCCACAAAUUCAGUUAGUGGUUUUAUGAGGUUUCUUGCAACAAAACUUCUGAUUUAAGAGUGUUGUAGAGGAUAUUGUAAUGUUCUGACAAAGUAUUUAAGAAUAGAUGAGCCUUCGAAAACUUUAAUUUCUCUAUCUCUAUUGUAUUUCAUAACAUAAUUUAAUAAUUAUUGUUUAUUUUUUUACUUAAUUAUAUUAUAAUAUUAUUAUUAUUAGAUGGUAAUAGUUAAUCUCUAAAAUGAUUAUGAAUAAAAAAAAUUUGAACUUAUGCCACUAUUACAUAAAAACAAAUUAUGUUUUACUUGUUUAGAAAGAAACAAAAAUUUACAAAAACGAAAAUAUCCAUAAUUUCUCAGUAUAAAGUACCUGUGGCUGGGUAGUGCCAUGUGAGACUUGAAAGCGAAAUAGUGUACAGUGUCCUUAUGACAGGCUUUUAAAAGUUUUGCUGAAUUAGCUUCCGAAGGUCCACUUUAAACCUGUUCACACUAAGAGUUCUAGUCUCUCUUGGCAGCUGAUUGUAGUACCUUAGUCCUUGAAAUGCAAUUGACCUUUGGCCCAUUGUAGUUCUAGCUGUUGUGGUUCGUAGAUGGUCUGCUGAUCUGACACUGUUAUGGUGAAUAUCCCUAAUAACAUUAAAGGAGUUUACCUCCCUCCCUUGACAUCUGUGUAUGAAGUUGGUUGCUUGCUGUAUAUAUACAGUUUUACAUUUAAAAUUCCGUUGCCUAAUGUAGGGUGAAUAUGAGGCAAACCAAAGACUCAUGUGAUAGCUUUGUUUUGCAGAACAUUCAAUGGAUGAAGAUGUGUUGCAACAGCAUUCCCCCACAAUAGUGUCAUGUAUAAGACGUGGGAAUGGAUAAAUGAAUAGUAUAAUUUUAGAAUUCUGGAGCUGGAUGUUGGAAAUUAUAGGGGAAGCAUUGGACCUGGAAGAGUAUCAGUAGAAGAUAUAGGCUGUGGCGAGUCGAGGCUGCUGUUAUUCGAACAGGGACGUUUUUCACUAGUUUUUGAAAAAGAAAUUAGAGGAAAAAAACGAGAAGGUGUGUUCUCCGAGGAUACUACGGGUAUAACUGAAGUAUUAGUAGUGGUAAGGUUAGCACAAAAGAGAUUUAAGGAAUCAUUUGAUUUAAGAGAAGGAUUUUUUGUGGGAUGGAAGUGUUGGGGCAUGAAUCAGUAAUGUGCCCAGCCUGUUUGCAGAAAAAGCAUUCGAGUUUGUGGGUAGAAAUGAAUAUUCUAUGUGUAGUAUUGUAGGUAAUAUGCAAGUUACACGGCGGAAGCUGGGGACAUGUGCAUAUUCAUUAUCAGGUUAGCCACAUUUGACGUAGAUAUAAAGAGAGGAAAGUGAUAACCCUAAGUCAUGCAAUGCUUUCUCAAUGACGGAAUGGGGAAUGGAUGGACAAACAUUGAAAAUAAGUACUCUUUUGGUUGGAGAUAUAAACCGACGUAUAGGGAUUAUAUUGGAAUUAACUAGGAUCUUUUGGUUGGUUUUCAGAAGGUGGUCGAGAUAAAUAAAUAUAUAUUCUGGAUACGAAAAUAUAUAAUAUAGUCAAAUAGUACUGUGAUAUCUCAACCAUUCUCAAUUACUCUGGUUCCUUUCCAUCAUUCUUUCGUUUAGAAACUCUAUUUGCUUCCUAUUGCCCACGAAUGCUGAAUUUAAAGGUUUGUAUGUAUUUAUUGAUGAGGCGUUAAACACAUCAAACAAUGUAUUAAACUUUUUAAUAAUAUAUGCAGUACCAAUUGUUUCCGACAGUAGUGCACCCAGGCUCACUAAUGUAUUUAGACCUGCUGCUACUGUAGCACUCAACACUUGUGUAGCUAAUUUGACCUUCAUUUUCUCAAAAUUGCUUGGCAAAUGUGUGAAUUGGUUAAUUUUGGGGCUAGUCUGAAAUGUAAUUUUUUAUCUACAUUGAAGAAAUCUUCAAUAUAUUUCCACGAGGCUGUUUUCUCCUUGAAUGUAAAUGUAUGUGCCAUUAAGUUGUUUCUUACAGCUUUUAUUAGAUGUGGUGGGUCAAAAACAUACCAAACUUUAAUCUCCUUUACCUUAAAGAAAGGAUAUCUCUCCAUCACAUUUGCCAUUUGUAUAAAAUUUCUUCCCAGAUCAGAAACCAAUAUUUGUUUUACUUUUUCCAUAAUCUUCUAACCCAAUAAUUUCAUCUUUAGAAAACAUUUCACCAAUGUAUAAAAUACAAUAUCUGUCUAAUUCAUUCAAUGCCUCAAUUUUGGGUUUUAUACUCUCGAAUAACUUUUCAUUUAAACCAGCAUUCACAGGCAUGUUUUAUGCCUGCAUUUUCACAAACUUAGCAGAUGCUGGUGGUAGUAAUUUUUUUAAUGAACACUUAAAUUGUGUUAACAUUUGUUUGCGUGAUAAUUUACCCCUUUCUUGGGUAUUACAACUUAGAUAUUCUUCUGUUUGAAUAUCCUGCUGUAAUGAAGGUCGUAGGAAUGUUUCCAUAACUGGAUCUGCUGUUGAUGUCAAUGGCCUGGGCUCACAAUCUAAAAAACUGUAGUAAUAGUAUCAUUUUUAAUAGACAUUAGACAAAUAUUACCACGUCCAGAUAAACCAGUACUUUUUAUCUGGAUAGAAGAAUCUAAUUUUCUUCUUUUUGGGUCCCUUAUUUCCUUUGCUUCAGGAACAGCAUGUGGUUGUAGACGAUUUAGAUUUUUAUUAGUUUUUAACCAGGUAAGUUAAUUUAACAUAUUAAUUCUGCUUUAAAACUUGUUGAGGUUAUGUCUAUAUUAUUUUUGUAGUACCUUUUUGUUUUUUUACAGAUCCUUUUGUUAAGAAAAUAAUGGCUUUUAAACAUGUCCUAAAACUUUCCAGCAUUAGUGCUUUUAUAGAUGACACAACAAAAUUAUAAAAAGGGCUGAAAACGCCUUAGCGUCCAGUCAUGUGAAGAAAAUGGACUUUGACUCUGAUUUGCAGAGGGGAAGUAUUUGCUAGUAUGAAAGACUACAAGGUAUCUAUAGAUAGUGUUGGUUACGCCAUUUGUGAGAAUCUAAUGACACCUUGGCUUUGUCAGAGACUAAGCAUUCCAACUUUGCAACGCAACCUGAAGAGGAAAAUUGAAGAUAUUUUAGGGGAAGAAGUCAAAGACAGUCAAAAACGGAAAACCUGCGCUUUUUGCUCUUAAAAAAACGCAGAAUGACAGUUUCGGUGUUAAGUGCGUAAAAAAUACAUGUGCCUGGAACAUCAGGCAGAAGUAUGUACAAAUUGUAUUUAAAAAUAUUAUGUUUAUUCGUUUCACAUUAUUUUAAUUAUAUCUGGCUGUGUAAAUAAAAAAUUCAUGGAAAUAUGACAAUUUCAUUUAUUUUAUAAUAAAUACCUGGAGUAAUCUGUCGGACUAAAGCUUAUGAAUUGUGCUAGUAUUUCCAAACAUAAUGAAGCUAGGGUUAAAUAAAGUGUUAUUAUGUUAGUAUAGUACAUUUUCAUUUUAUUUAAGCCUCUUUGCAAAUAAUCCUAUAUUUGUCUCAAGAGGCAAAAACAAGUUUAUUUCACCACAUUUUUUAUAAUGACCAUCAAAAUUAGGAGAAUUAGAAUUUUUCAUUUACAAAUGUAAGAGGUUAAUAAGCACAUACCAAUAAGCUCUCUGAACGUUUCUUGUGUCAUUGGACUGUUCUACAAAAUUUUCAAUUUUUGUAAUUGUACGAGAUUCCUCUUCAUCUGAAGAUGAAGAAGUGGACCAGUCAGCCAUAGUAUCAAUG
Molecule: long non-coding RNA, 3835 nt
Organism: Diorhabda sublineata
Lineage: Eukaryota; Metazoa; Arthropoda; Insecta; Coleoptera; Chrysomelidae
Exons: 3
Source: RefSeq, a predicted model, not a curated record